This 345-nucleotide unclassified non-coding RNA is filed under the name soil metagenome. RNAcentral's name for it is "partial contains 5.8S ribosomal RNA, internal transcribed spacer 2, and large subunit ribosomal RNA". The stretch from base 1 to 120 matches the Rfam family "5.8S ribosomal RNA", at positions 35 to 154 of the family's 154-position model. The record is from RNAcentral.
GAUGAAGAACAUAGCGAAAUGCGAUAAGUAAUGUGAAUUGCAGAAUUCAGUGAAUCAUCGAAUCUUUGAACGCACAUUGCGCCCCCUGGUAUUCCGGGGGGCAUGCCUGUCCGAGCGUCAUUUGCAACCCUCAAGCCCGGCUUGUGUGAUGGGUGCCGUCCCCUACGGGACGCGCCCCGAAGGCAAUGGCGGCGUCGCGGUUAUCCGAUCAGCCAAAGUGUAUGGGGCUUUGUCACUCACUUUACGGCCCGGACCGGCGCCAGUCCGAAUCAAUCUUUUUUCUAAAGUUGACCUCGGAUCAGGUAGGGAUACCCGCUGAACUUAAGCAUAUCAAUAAGCGGAGGA